RNAcentral lists this long non-coding RNA (1260 nucleotides) under Anser brachyrhynchus (Pink-footed goose). RNAcentral describes it as "lncRNA (ENSABRG00000000298.1)". The record is from RNAcentral. Lineage: Eukaryota; Metazoa; Chordata; Aves; Anseriformes; Anatidae.
AUGGAUGGUUCUGCAGACAAAGACAGUCCGCUCUUACACUGGUGUCAUACGGAGAAACUGGACUCCCACACAUGUUCAAGGAGAGACUAUGAGAGCAGGUGGAAGUCCUGCAAGUCCAGCAGGCCUCUGAUGCUCACUACCAGAUGUACUAAGUCUACAACACCAAGGAGACACUCGCUCUUCCAGCCUCCUCUCUUCUUCGGCAGCUCCCUAAUCGAGCAAUGAAGUUUGUGUAGAACAUGAUUUAGCACCGAUUUACUACUUCCUCACCUCAUCUAUAAACCUGGUCUGCCUACCUGGUAGCAUCUUCAUGCUUCAAGGAACUGUACUUCAAUAGGAGAUUACCAAUUCUUUAUUGAUCAUGUGCCAGGAGCAAAAUUUUCUUCUGUCACCUCUUGUGGAAGCAAAGUAUUUUCAACCUGACACAGCUAUAUAUAGAGAUUACCGAGUAUUAAACAGAAUUCAUAAACUGUACAUAGAGAGAUUCCCCAAACUGUCACAAGUCCUUACUUAGAUAAUCAUAGACAAUGAGGAUUAAAGCUGUGUAAGGAGGAAGGAACAGAAUAUAUGAUGGAAAGGUGGAGCCGUUUUGUGGGAAAUUUUCAUUUCCAUGACGUGUUAUUUUUAUUUUUCCUUUCCCAUUAUGCUGUAGAUUUUGUGUUACUUGCAUACAAAAGAGUAAUUACUUGCUACUCCACAGCUGAGGUUGCAUUGUAAUUUGCACUUAUAGCAGGACUAAAACCUUUGUGUUUCAUACUUGAGUGAUUGCAGUUAGACUACACAUUUGGCACAAUAACACUUCAGAAUUACAGCUCAAUUUUCUUUUCCUUUUUUCAUAAUAUUUGUUUGCCUCUUGUAAAGCGAAGAACUUAAUUGCCCUCUUUUUCAAAUGUUUUACAUUUUCUUCACAUUUCUGAACUCUUAUAGAAGUAAUUCUGAGGGUUCCCAUGUAUUGCAAGCCAUUCUUCCUUUAGAAUAAGAACCCAGGUAAAGCCAAUUUUGAAGUGUGUGUCUUUACAAAUUUGUAAAGCUUGUGUCCUGGAUUAAUAUUUUGAUGAUUUUUAUUUUUUUUAAAAUCUGAUGUCUGUUUUUCAUGUUGUUUUCAUUUUCCUUAUUGUUUUCUGACGGCUUCUAGCUAUAGUCACUGUAUUACUUCUUUGUAUUUAGUACUGGUGCUCCAACAUCAUUAAAUAAUAUUAGAUGGAACUGUUCUGUCUGUUUUUAUUGGAAAAAUAAAGUUUGUCAGAAUCAAAUUUUUCA